AGAGGUUCUAGCCACACUUCCUGUGCCCGGGCCUCCUGCCAGAUGUUUGGAGGGGAUUUUCACGAGCCGUGUAGUUUGAUCUCAUGCUGGGUAAUCCUCUACUCAGUGUGAAGGGGCUAAAGCAAUUACCAGUGAAGGAUUCAUGAGAUUCUAGGGGAAAAGAUAAAUAAUGAUGCAUUUCGUAAGACCAACCAAAGAAUCCAGAAGCAUACCAUGGAGAACUUAAGAGAUUUCUUCUUUACAGGCUAAGCAUCCAUAUUUACUUCAACUAGUCCAUCCCAAGGCAUGUCACCAUCCUUAUAGCCCCCGCCACUGGAUGCUUCCUAGCUUAUUAAAGACCUUCCGUAACACACGGUACCCAGAACUGAACCUCACAAUCCAGCAUGGUUUGACCUCACCAGAGUCCAGUGGGAAUAUUACCUCCUUAGUCCUGGACAUGAACCGAAGAUCCCAUUGGCUUUUGUGACUGAUGCUACACUCUUAGGCCUCCUUGAGCUUCCGUGUUUAAAUUGAUUGAAUGCUUUAUUGAUGCUAUUCUUUCUUUUUAAAUGUUACUAUCUCUCCCUACAACUUCCCUCCCCAACCUUCUC
Non-coding RNA from Phascolarctos cinereus (koala), 590 nucleotides. The record is from RefSeq and is a predicted model, not a curated record. NCBI's taxonomy places the organism in Eukaryota, Metazoa, Chordata, Mammalia, Diprotodontia, Phascolarctidae.